GCCAGGUGUGGUGACUCAUGCCUGUAAUCCCAGCAAUUUGGGAGACUGAGGCAGGAGGAUUGCAAGUCCAGCUUCAGCAACUUACAAAGAACCUCAGUGACUUAGCAAGACCCUGUCUCAC
RNAcentral lists this small RNA (121 nucleotides) under Marmota monax (woodchuck). Lineage: Eukaryota; Metazoa; Chordata; Mammalia; Rodentia; Sciuridae. The record is from RNAcentral.